Molecule: non-coding RNA, 74 nt
Organism: Gadus morhua (Atlantic cod)
Lineage: Eukaryota; Metazoa; Chordata; Actinopteri; Gadiformes; Gadidae
Source: the annotation of a RefSeq genome assembly
GCUCCAGUGGCGCAAUCGGUCAGCGCGCGGUACUUAUAAUGCCGAGGUUGUGAGUUCGAGCCUCACCUGGAGCA